CUCUCGGCAACGGAUAUCUAGGCUCUCGCAUCGAUGAAGAACGUAGCGAAAUGCGAUACUUGGUGUGAAUUGCAGAAUCCCGCGAAUCAUCGAGUUUUUGAACGCAAGUUGCACCCGAAGCCAUUCGGCCGAGGGCACGUCUGCCUGGGUGUCACGCAUCGUUG
Molecule: ribosomal RNA, 164 nt
Filed under: Quercus wutaishanica
Lineage: Eukaryota; Viridiplantae; Streptophyta; Magnoliopsida; Fagales; Fagaceae
Description: 5.8S ribosomal RNA
Rfam family: 5.8S ribosomal RNA
About the family: 5.8S ribosomal RNA (5.8S rRNA) is a component of the large subunit of the eukaryotic ribosome. It is transcribed by RNA polymerase I as part of the 45S precursor that also contains 18S and 28S rRNA.
Source: RNAcentral